This 996-nucleotide ribosomal RNA is filed under the name uncultured bacterium. Its description in RNAcentral is "bacterial SSU rRNA". It matches the Rfam family "Bacterial small subunit ribosomal RNA", at positions 1 to 1001 of the family's 1533-position model. The record is from RNAcentral.
UAGAGUUUGAUCAUGGCUCAGGAUGAACGCUAGCGGGAGGCUUAACACAUGCAAGUCGCGGGGCAGCAUGAUGUAGCAAUACAUUGAUGGCGACCGGCGCACGGGUGAGUAACGCGUAUGCAACCUGCCCAGUACAGGGGGAUAGCCCGGAGAAAUUCGGAUUAAUACCCCAUAAUGAUAAGAGAUGGCAUCAUUUUUUAUUUAAAGUUACGGCGGUACUGGAUGGGCAUGCGUGACAUUAGCUAGUUGGUAGGGUAACGGCCUACCAAGGCAUCGAUGUCUAGGGGUCCUGAGAGGGUGAUCCCCCACACUGGUACUGAGACACGGACCAGACUCCUACGGGAGGCAGCAGUGAGGAAUAUUGGUCAAUGGGCGCAAGCCUGAACCAGCCAUCCCGCGUGAAGGAAGAAUGCGCUAUGCGUUGUAAACUUCUUUUCCAGGGGAAUAAAAUUUCGUACGAGUACGGGACUGAAGGUACCUUGGGAAUAAGCAUCGGCUAACUCCGUGCCAGCAGCCGCGGUAAUACGGAGGAUGCGAGCGUUAUCCGGAUUUAUUGGGUUUAAAGGGUGCGUAGGCGGAAAAAUAAGUCAGUGGUGAAAACCUUCAGCUUAACUAGAGACUUGCCAUUGAUACUGUUAUUCUUGAGUAUAGUUAAGGUAGGCGGAAUGUGUAAUGUAGCGGUGAAAUGCUUAGAUAUUACACAGAACACCAAUUGCGAAGGCAGCUUACUGAGCUAUAACUGACGCUGAUGCACGAAAGCGUGGGGAGCGAACAGGAUUAGAUACCCUGGUAGUCCACGCCGUAAACGAUGAUCACUCGCUGUUGGCGAUACACAGUCAGCGGCUAAGCAAAAGCAUUAAGUGAUCCACCUGGGGAGUACGGCCGCAAGGCUGAAACUCAAAGGAAUUGACGGGGGCCCGCACAAGCGGAGGACAUGUGGUUUAUUCGAUGAUACGCGAGGACCUUACCUGGGCUUAAAUGUAUAGUGCAUUCUGC